UGCAGGCUUUGGUGCAGAUAUGCUCUAUCUCUUCUACUUGCUUUUCUUGACAGCCUUGUGAACAACAGCUGUGUUAUGGGGUGCAAACCGGGCAUGUACUUGAUCAAGGAACCAGUGCGAUGUGAAGGAUGCCGCUCAAACUGCCGGACAUGUACAGGGCCAAGCCGAAAGAAUGUACGCAGUGUGGCUAGAAAACAGCCAUUUGCAUGAGUGGAAAUGUGUCCCCGCAUGUGGUGAGGGCUUUUACCCUGAUGAGAUGUUUGGACUCCCGCACAAAGUCUGCAGAAGAUGUGAAGACAACUGUUUAAGUUGUGAUAGCUCUGGGAGGAAACUGUCCUCAGGUGUAAAGAAGGCUAUAACCUGCUUAGUGGCUCUUGAUUGCAAGUGACAGAUGCCAACAAUGGUAAGUACGUGCAU
Long non-coding RNA from Sceloporus undulatus (fence lizard), 417 nucleotides. RefSeq lists it as uncharacterized. The transcript is spliced from 3 exons. The record is from RefSeq and is a predicted model, not a curated record. NCBI's taxonomy places the organism in Eukaryota, Metazoa, Chordata, Lepidosauria, Squamata, Phrynosomatidae.